RNAcentral lists this ribosomal RNA (1359 nucleotides) under Chroomonas cf. mesostigmatica. RNAcentral's name for it is "partial Bacterial large subunit ribosomal RNA". It matches the Rfam family "Bacterial large subunit ribosomal RNA", at positions 923 to 2283 of the family's 2925-position model. Lineage: Eukaryota; Cryptophyceae; Pyrenomonadales; Chroomonadaceae. The record is from RNAcentral.
GGGGUCAUGGCGACUUACCAAACCUUAGCAAACUCCGAAUACCGCAGAGUACAGCUUGGGAGACAGAGCACCGGGUGCUAACGUCCGGACUCAAGAGGGAAACAACCCAGACCGCCAGCUAAGGUCCCUAAAAUUGGCUAAGUGGGAAACGAAGUGGGAAGGCUAAAACAGUCAGGAUGUUGGCUUAGAAGCAGCCAUCAUUUAAAGAAAGCGUAAUAGCUCACUGAUCGAGUCGUCCUGCGCGGAAGAUGUAACGGGGCUAAGCCAGUUACCGAAGCUGCGGAUGCAUCGCAAGAUGCGUGGUAGGAGAGCGUUCUGUAAGCCUGUGAAGGUGGGUUGUGAAGCCUGCUGGAGGUAUCAGAAGUGCGAAUGCUGACAUGAGUAGCGUUAAAGGGGGUGAAAAGCCCCCUCGCCGAAAGCGCAAGGUUUCCUACGCAACGUUCAUCGGCGUAGGGUGAGUCGGCCCCUAAGGCGAGGCAGAGAUGCGUAGCUGAUGGGAAACAGGUCAAUAUUCCUGUACCGAUCAAUAGUGCGAUGUGGGGACGGAGAAGGUUAGCUCAGCCGGGUGUUGGAUGUCCCGGUUCAAGCCUGUAGUCGUGCCUGGUAGGCAAAUCCGCCGGGCUUAGAUGAGGGGUGAUAACGAGGAGGCUUGCCUCCGAAGUGAGUGAUACCCUGCUUCCAGGAAAAGCCACUAAGCUUCAGCUAUUGACGACCGUACCGCAAACCGACACUGGUGCGCGAGAUGAGUAUUCUAAGGCGCUUGAGAGAACUCUGGAGAAGGAACUCGGCAAAUUGACACCGUAACUUCGGAAGAAGGUGUGCCUUUAGUAGGUGUAGUUGUACAAACGAAGCCCAAUGAGGCCGCAGAGAAUCGGUGGCUGCAACUGUUUAUUAAAAACACAGCACUCUGCAAAGACGAAAGUCGACGUAUAGGGUGUGACUCCUGCCCGGUGCUGGAAGAUUAAAUGAUGGGGUGCAAGCUCUUGACUGAAGUCCCAGUAAACGGCGGCCGUAACUAUAACGGUCCUAAGGUAGCGAAAUUCCUUGUCGGGUAAGUUCCGACCUGCACGAAUGGAGUAAUGAUGGCCACACUGUCUCCUCCAGAGACUCAGCGAAGUUGAAAUGUUUGUGAUGAUGCAAUCUCCCCGCGGAAAGACGGAAAGACCCCAUGAACCUUUACUGUAGCUUUACAUUGGACUUUGAACAGAUCUGUGUAGGAUAGGUGGGAGGCUUUGAAGUAAGGUCGCUAGAUCUUAUGGAGCCGACGUUGAAAUACCACCCUGGUGUGUUUGAGGUUCUAACCUUGGCCCGUGAUCCGGGUUGGGGACAGUGUAUGGUGGGCAGUUUGACUGGGGCGGU